CGGCACGGGUGAGUAACACGUAUGGAACCUGCCCUAUGCAGGGGGAGUAAGCGGAAGAAAUUCCGUCUAAUACCGCAUAACACCAUUUGGAGACAUCUCCAGGGGGUCAAAGGAGGCGGACUACCGGCAUUAGGAUGGCCAUGCGUCGCAUUAGCUAGUCGGCGGGGUAACGGCCCACCGAGGCGACGAUGCGUAGGGGUUCUGGAGAGGAAGGUCCCCACCACUGGUACUGAGACACGGACCAGACUCCUACGGAAGGCAGCAG
Molecule: ribosomal RNA, 265 nt
Filed under: uncultured bacterium
Lineage: Bacteria
Description: partial 16S ribosomal RNA
Rfam family: Bacterial small subunit ribosomal RNA
Source: RNAcentral